Molecule: non-coding RNA, 25 nt
Filed under: Mus musculus (house mouse)
Lineage: Eukaryota; Metazoa; Chordata; Mammalia; Rodentia; Muridae
Source: RNAcentral
UAAAAUGCGAGUAUGUAUCUAUGGU